CUGUAUCGUAGCACACGGCAGAGGAUUUUUAUACCGCAUUUUUAUGGAUUAUUUUUGGCGAGUUGGAUCUGGUGCAAGAGGAGAUAAAAACCAGCUCUUCAAGGGUUGAUUGAUGAGGGGAGAACGGUUUGGAGAGAGGGGAGAGGAGGAUGGGGAAGAGCUGGAGCUGCUGCCCUCCCAGGAGCCUUCAUCCCAUCCCAGGAGCCUUCAUCCCAUCCCUCUGUGGGAUCCAUCCCAUCCCUGAGGAAUCCAUCCCAACCCAUCCCAUCCCAGGAGGCUUCAUCCCAUCCCAGGAGCCUUCAUCCCAUCCCAGGAGCCUUCAUCCCGUCCCAUCCCAUCCCUCCCAGGAGCCUUCAUCCCAUCCUUCUCCUCUGUGGGAUCCAUCCCAUCCCUCCGAGGGAUCCAUCCUAUCCCUAAGGAAUCCAUCCCAACCCAUCCCAUCCCUCCCAGGAGCCUUCAUUCCAUCCCUCUCCUCCAAGGGACCCAUCCCAUCCCAUCCCAUCCCAUCCCUCGGAAGGUUCCAUCCCUUCCCAUCCCAUCCCUCCCCUCUGAGGGAUCCAACCCAUCCCUCUGAAGGAUCCAACCCAUCCCAUCCCAUCCCUCUGAAGGAUCCAACCCAUCCCAUCCCAUCCCUCUGAAGGAUCCAUCCCAUCCCAUCCCAUCCCUCUGAAGGAUCCAGCCCUUCCCAACCCAUCCCUCUGAAGGAUCCAGCCCAUCCCUUCCCAACCCAUCCCAUCCCAUCCCAGCCCUCUGAGGGAUCCAUCCCAUCCCUUCCCAUCCCAUCCCUCCGGCUGCUCCCAGCGGAGCUGGGGAGGAGGAGGAGGAGGAGGAGGAGGAGGAGUUGGGAUCUCGGGGCAAUCCCGCUGUUCCCGCUGUUCCGUGGCCGUGGGAGCUCCUGAGCUGCCUCAGGGAAUUCCCAGCCUGGGGUGGGAUCCGCGUGGGGCAGGGGUGAUCCAACAAGGAAAAGUUCCCUGGAGCCGUUUUUGGGAAAGGCGUUCUGGGGCGCUCCGGCUCC
RNAcentral lists this long non-coding RNA (1015 nucleotides) under Lonchura striata (white-rumped munia). Its description in RNAcentral is "domestica (Bengalese finch) lncRNA (ENSLSDG00000018106.1)". The record is from RNAcentral. Lineage: Eukaryota; Metazoa; Chordata; Aves; Passeriformes; Estrildidae.